UUUUCUGGUUGAUCCUGCCAGAGGUCACUGCUAUCGGGGUUCGAUUAAGCCAUGCGAGUCGAGAGGGUUCGGCCCUCGGCGUACUGCUCAGUAACACGUGGAUAACCUGCCCUAGGGAAGGGGAUAACCCCGGGAAACUGGGGAUAAUACCCUAUAGGUUACAGAUGCUGGAAUGCUCUGUAACCCAAAGUUCCGGCGCCCUAGGAUGGAUCUGCGGCCGAUUAGGUUGUUGUUGGGGUAAUGGCCCAACAAGCCAGUAAUCGGUACGGGUUGUGGGAGCAAGAGCCCGGAGUUGGAUUCUGAGACACGAAUCCAGGCCCUACGGGGCGCAGCAGGCGCGAAAACUUUACAAUGCGGGCAACCGUGAUAAGGGAACCUCGAGUGCCUGUAAAUGCAGGCUGUUUAGGUGUUUAAAACGCACCUGGAGAAAGGGCCGGGCAAGACCGGUGCCAGCCGCCGCGGUAAUACCGGCGGCUCGAGUGGUGGCCACUUUUAUUGGGCUUAAAGCGUUCGUAGCUGGGUUGUUAAGUCCCUUGGGAAAUCUGGCGGCUUAACCGUCAGGCGUCUAAGGGAUACUGGCAAUCUUGGAACCGGGAGAGGUGAGGGGUACUUCGGGGGUAGGAGUGAAGUCCUGUAAUCCUCGAGGGACCACCUGUGGCGAAGGCGCCUCACCAGAACGGCUUCGACAGUGAGGGACGAAAGCUGGGGGAGCAAACCGGAUUAGAUACCCGGGUAGUCCCAGCCGUAAACUAUGCGCGUUAGGUGUAUCGGUGACCACGAGUUACCGAGGUGCCGAAGGGAAACCGUGAAACGUGCCGCCUGGGAAGUACGGUCGCAAGGCUGAAACUUAAAGGAAUUGGCGGG
Molecule: ribosomal RNA, 864 nt
Filed under: uncultured archaeon
Lineage: Archaea
Description: bacterial SSU rRNA
Rfam family: Archaeal small subunit ribosomal RNA
Source: RNAcentral